RNAcentral lists this ribosomal RNA (747 nucleotides) under uncultured bacterium. Its description in RNAcentral is "bacterial SSU rRNA". It matches the Rfam family "Bacterial small subunit ribosomal RNA", at positions 8 to 796 of the family's 1533-position model. The record is from RNAcentral.
AGAGUUUGAUCCUGGCUCAGGAUGAACGCUGGCGGUAUGCGUAACACAUGCAAGUCGAACGAAGUUUUUCGGAACUUAGUGGCGGACGGGUGAAUAACGCGUGAGAAUCUGCCUUAAGGAUUGGGACAACAGUGGGAAACCGCUGCUAAUACCAAAUAUGCCUUUUAGUGAAACGGGUAAAACCGCCUUAAGAUGAGCUCGCGUCUGAUUAGCUAGUUGGUGUGGUAAGAGCGCACCAAGGCAACGAUCAGUAGCUGGUCUGAGAGGACGACCAGCCACACUGGGACUGAGACACGGCCCAGACUCCUACGGGAGGCAGCAGUGAGGAAUUUUCCGCAAUGGGCGAAAGCCUGACGGAGCAAUACCGCGUGAGGGAGGAAGGUUCUUGGAUUGUAAACCUCUUUUCUCAGAGAAGAAUAAUGACGGUAUCUGAGGAAUAAGCAUCGGCUAACUCCGUGCCAGCAGCCGCGGUAAUACGGAGGAUGCAAGCGUUAUCCGGAAUGAUUGGGCGUAAAGGGUCUGUAGGUGGUUGUUCAAGUCUGCUGUUAAAGCGUCUGGCUUAACCAGAUAAAGGCGGUGGAAACUGAACGACUAGAGUGCGGUAGGGGUAGAGGGAAUUCCCAGUGUAGCGGUGAAAUGCGUAGAUAUUGGGAAGAACACCUGUGGCGAAAGCGCUCUACUGGACCGCGACUGACACUGAUGGACGAAAGCUAGGGGAGCGAAUGGGAUUAGAUACCCUAGUAGUCC